CGUUUGCGUUUUCCUUCAGUUUCAUCCUCUUUUUGCAGAGUUUGCAUUUUCUUUUGGCUUGAAGUAACUUCUUCUUUUGGAGCCAUUUUAUCAAUUUUAAUUUCUUUUUUAAAGUCUGUCUUCCCUCAAUAAGACUGAGUACUUUGGCGUGCAGGGUCAUGAUAACUUUGCAUCAAACCGUCUUCCUGUCUUGCACAUGCGCAGUUCUUACACGUGUCUCACUAAGAAGAACUUGGCAAUGGAGGCUCAGAGGAAGAGCAAGCGUAAAAGGCAGCCUACAAGAGAUCUUGGACGCGUGGAGAAAGCCAUGGCAGAAUCUGUAGUGUGCUGCAGUGAUGGGUCUGACUUUGAGUCAGACACAGUACACCAGCCUACUAAAAGAGUAGCAGCUCAAGGUUCUUCAGUAGCUCCAACAGCUAUUUCAUCUUUGAAGCGCAGCAAACAAUAAAACGUUGUCUGGAAGCGAAAGCUGGAGAAUGCGAAAGAAAAAAUAAAGUCAUUAGAGAAUGAAAGGGACUUCUUAAGGAACCAACUGUCUGAGGCUUUGGCGCUUGCAAAUAAAGAGGACCAAGUGACAGCAGCGCCCUCCUUGCACGAAAAGAGUAUUGAAAAAUCCUCUUCAUCUUCCUCCUCCACCUCCUCCUCAUCCUCCUCCGACAGUUCCUCCUCUUCCUCAUCAUCUUCUUC
Gadus morhua (Atlantic cod) is the source of this 687-nucleotide long non-coding RNA. RefSeq lists it as uncharacterized. The record is from RefSeq and is a predicted model, not a curated record. NCBI's taxonomy places the organism in Eukaryota, Metazoa, Chordata, Actinopteri, Gadiformes, Gadidae. The transcript has 4 exons.